UUUUUAGAAAAAUGAAGUUACAAGUCAGACUGGCAAUCCAACUUGUUGUUCGCAAGUCAGCUUGAGUUUGGCUUGAAAUAAGGCCGAGAUCGAUCGAUUGUUUAAUAAACUAGCCGAAACAAGAGCUGGGGUUAGCUCGUUUGUGUUCGACUCGAUAUAGCUCGAAUUUAUAAUAUAUAUACAUAGAGUCCAGCUAUUAUGCUAUCGAUAGUACCAAGCUCUUGGUACUAUCGAGUUUUCUGCCAUUAAAUCUAUUCUUUGAUUAUUUCCAUCCGUUAGAUUAUACUAUUCAACCAACCACCCACUCAAUCCUAGGGGAUCACUAUCAUCCUAACCACACAUCCUUUUAUCCAACGGUCGAAAACUCAAUAGUACCAAACGCUUAGUACUAUCAAUAAUAAGAGAGAGAGAGAGAGCGCGCUAUCCAAAUGUAAAAAGACUUAUAUUUUUAAUUAUUAUAUUAAGAUUCUAAUUUCUAAUGUUCUUCCAACUUUUCAUUUAAUAGUAGGCCUGACAAUCUAAUUUAUUGUUCAUGAGCCAACUCGUGUUCGGUUUAUUAAUAAACAAGCUGAAUACGCAAUUGUUCAGCUCAAUAGUCCAACAAGGCAGCUUGUGUUUGACUUAUUUAUUAAAUGAGCCGAACACGAGCUGGCACCAUCUAACUCGUGUUCAGCUCGUUAACAACUCUAGUUACAUAGUAAAUUUAAUCUAUAACAAAUUAAACAACAAAGUGAAUAUUGAUGAUCGAAACCGAUCCUCCACUUUUGAUGAAACAAACAUGCGCUUGGGACCAAUCCACCAAUCCAAACGCGAGGUAGCUCCAGGUUUUAGUUACUCUUUGGACCGGGUGUACUUUGGGCUUUGUACUUUUCAACACUCUUAACCUGAAAAAAUUCUAGAAUGCAACGGGUACAUUAGUGACGUGGCGUAACAAACCAAUCAAAUUAAUCAUUUUAAGAAUAUAUGUCCCAUCAUGAUUGUAAAAAAGUAUUUUUAUUGUACUUGUGUUUGAAAAAAAGAAAUGUGAUUGACUUGUUAUUGAUGACGUGGUGCAAGUGUGACAGUGUAGAAUUCCUCCUU
RNAcentral lists this long non-coding RNA (1080 nucleotides) under Ananas comosus (pineapple). RNAcentral's name for it is "long non-coding RNA (ACOM_LNC040771)". Lineage: Eukaryota; Viridiplantae; Streptophyta; Magnoliopsida; Poales; Bromeliaceae. The record is from RNAcentral.